CGGUUUGAUUUCCUAUUUAAACGCACUUUCUAGUGGCACAGAAGCAUUCUGCCACAAAGCCAAAUCAUUGCUGGCCUGAGAUCGAUAUCGCUGGCAGGAGGAUGGCAACAAAAGUGCUUUCUUGCUUGACUUGUGUAUUUGCCCUUCUGGCGUUGUUUUCACGAGAAUGUGAUGCAAUCGUUAUAGGUCCUGCAGGUGAAAGACCACCUGGAAAAAUAUUAUUUCAGAGAAAGGACAGCUUACCAGAAGAGAUGGAUGGUUUUACAGUAAAACGUCAGCUAUGUGAUGCUGCUGAACGUCUUGGUUGCUGAAGUGUACACCACGUGACGAACAGAACAUGAGCCAAAGAAAAUAAACCUAACAAUAAAGUUUCAUUUCCUCUAAGUAAUGCUAUCAAAUUAAACUGAAGGCAACUUAAACAAAGCCAGGUGAAAGAAGGAUAAAAAUGGCUAAGAAAUGUGCAAACUAAACAAGUAGCUUGUUCCUUGUGUGGAAUAAAAAAGCUCAUGAAGCUG
Orbicella faveolata is the source of this 515-nucleotide long non-coding RNA. RefSeq lists it as uncharacterized. The record is from RefSeq and is a predicted model, not a curated record. NCBI's taxonomy places the organism in Eukaryota, Metazoa, Cnidaria, Anthozoa, Scleractinia, Merulinidae.